RNAcentral lists this unclassified non-coding RNA (255 nucleotides) under air metagenome. RNAcentral describes it as "partial contains small subunit ribosomal RNA, internal transcribed spacer 1, and 5.8S ribosomal RNA". The stretch from base 1 to 46 matches the Rfam family "Eukaryotic small subunit ribosomal RNA", at positions 1786 to 1831 of the family's 1831-position model. The record is from RNAcentral.
AAGUCGUAACAAGGUUUCCGUAGGUGAACCUGCGGAAGGAUCAUUACCGAGUUCUCGGGCUUCGGCUCGAAUCUCCCACCCUUUGUGAACGUACCUCUGUUGCUUUGGCGGCUCCGGCCUGCGGAGGGAGGGGCCAAAAACCCCCCCCGCCGACGGGCCCCCGCCAGAGGACCUCCAAACUCCAGUCAGUGAACGUCGACGUCUGAUAAACAAGUUAAUAAACUAAAACUUUCAACAACGGAUCUCUUGGUUCUG